AUUCCAGCUCCAAUAGCGUAUAUUAAAGUUGUUGCAGUUAAAAAGCUCGUAGUUGGAUUUCUGGUUUGAUGCCCUGGCCCGCUGCUAUUUUGGUAGUGUGUGCCGGUUGUGCGUCUGCCAUCCUUCUAGGGAACGUUCCUUCUCUUCACUGAGCCGGGUUCGUGAUCUAGAUCGUUUACUUUGAAAAAAUUAGAGUGUUUAAAGCAGGCUUUUGCUAUGAAUACAUUAGCAUGGAAUAAUAAUCUAGGACUUCGGUCAUAUUUUGUUGGUUUCUGUAACUGAAGUAAGUCUUCAUAGGGACAGUUGGGGGUAUCCGUAUUUCGUAGUCAGAGGUGAAAUUCUUGGAUUUACGAAAGACGAACUACUGCGAAAGCAUUUACCAAGGAUGUUUUCAUUA
Molecule: ribosomal RNA, 397 nt
Filed under: Ebria sp.
Lineage: Eukaryota; Cercozoa; Thecofilosea; Ebriacea
Description: partial small subunit ribosomal RNA
Rfam family: Eukaryotic small subunit ribosomal RNA
Source: RNAcentral